CUGCUGUAGCCCCUACGUGGUGAGUAGAUCGUCUCCACAGAAAUCAGCGGAGGCUUCCACAGUCCCUGGUUGGAAUGGAACCGGCGGUGAGGAUGAGAGGCGCUGAAGACCAGAAGACCCAGGGCGUGAACGGGGCGUGUCAUCCCUGGAGUUUCAGUAGAAUUUCAGGCCUGUCUGCUUGAGCAGCAGAGGAGGAGUUUCUGUGUGCCUGUGAGAGACUGUGUGUGUGUGUGUGUGUGUGUGUGUGUGUGAGAUGAAUGAACAGGGUUGUGUACGUGUGUGUGCGUUAGACAAAUGAACAGUGUUGUGUACCUGUGUGAAUUGUCACUGUGACUCCAGGCUCUAGGCUCUGCAGAUUCCUCAGCCCUAUCGCCUCACAGACACUUGGGAUGUGCAGCAGGUAAAAGAGAGAAGCCAGAUUCAUGGAGGCGUGAAGGAUCCCAGCAAGAAAACACAGACUUGAUCUUGAGACGAGAUUUUUGAAAUUGGUUGCGGCCUCAAGGCAGGCUCUGAGAAGACUCGAUAAAGAGUUCUCAGGAAUAGGCAUCCCUCCUGGAUAUUUCCCCCUUGGAAGCGCCGAGGAGCCAGCUCUAUGUUUGUAACCAUAGCAUUUCUAAAGCUCCAGCCCCAGGAACCUGCUGUGAAUUAGAGACAGAUUCCACCCUAGGCAUCACUGAUCUUGGCCUCUCUUGUAUUGGGAAGGUCAACACUGUUCCAGUUUCUCUCCUACUCCCAUCUGGUUGUGCUCGGUGAAGUAGGUGAGCAGUGCUACCCUUCUGUUAAAAAAAAAAAAAAAAAAAAGAUCCUGAAAGAGGAAAGAAUUUUUGCUACACAUCUGAAAGCUAAAGUCCAGACUUGGAACCAACCCAAAUGCCCAUCAGUGAUAGACUGGAUAAAGAAAAUAUGGCACAUAUACACCAUGGAAUACUAUGCAACCAUAAAAAAGAAUGAAAUCAUGUCCUCUGCAAGGACAUGGAUGAAGCUGGAAGCCAUCAUUCUCAGCAAACUAAUGCAGAAACUGAAAACCAAGCACCACAUGUUCUCACUCAUAAGUGGGGGUUGAACAAUGAGAACACAUGGCACAGGGAAAGGAACAACACACACUGGAGCCUGUCGGGGAGUUGGGGGGCAAGGGGAGGGAGAGCACUGGACAAAUUACCUAAUGCAUGUGGGGCUUAAAACCUAAAUGUCAGAUUGAUAGGUACAGCAAACCACCAUGACACAUAUAUACCUAUGUAAAAAACCUACACAUCUGCACCUGUAUCCCAGAACUUAAAGUAAAAUAAAAAUGAAUUAAUUAAUUUUGAAGAAAAAGAAACCAAUAAUCCAAUUUAAAAAUGGGCAAGGACUUGAAUAGACUUUUUUCCAAAGAUGACACGCAAAUGGUUAAGUGGUACCUGAAAAGCACAUCAGACAAAUGCAAAUGAAACCACAAUGAGAUGUUACCACAAUACCUGUUAGGAUGACUAUUAUAAAAAGAAAGUAGGUAAGUGGGCUGGGCGCGGUGGCUCACCCCUGUAAUCCCAGCACUUUGGGAGGCCGAGGCGGGCGGAUCACGAGGUCAGGAGAUUGAGACCACGGUGAAACCCCGUCUCUACUAAAAAUACAAAAAUAAUUAGCCGGGCACGGUGGCAGGCGCCUGUAGUCCCAGCUACUCGGGAGGCUGAGGCAGGAGAAUGGCGUGAACCCGGGAGGCGGAGCUUGCAGUGAGCUGAGAUCGCGCCACUGCACUCCAGCCUGGGUGACAGAGCAAGACUCCGUCUCAAAAAAAAAAAAGAAAAGAAAAGAAAAUAGAUAAGUGUUGGUGAGGAUGUAGAGGAAAGGGAACACUUGUACACUGUUGAUGGCAAUAUCAAUUGGUAUAGCCAUUAUGUAAAACAGUAUGAAGGUUCCUUAAAAUAAUAAAAAUAAACCUAUCAUAUGAAAAAAAAAAGUGACGAGAUGUCUCUACUGUGAUUAUGUUAUACCAUAUAAGACUCAUAGCAGAUUGGACUUCUUUUGUGGGCUUGAUGAAGUAAGUGGCAAUGUUGGAGAAGCCCAUCUUGCAAAGGAACUGCAGGUGGCCUGCAGAACCUGAGGGCAACCUCCAGCCAACAGUCAGCAAAAAGGUGAGGCCCUCAGUCGUAUGGCCACAGGGAAAUGAAUUCUCCCUACAAUCUGAAUGAACCUGGAAAUGAAUUCUCCCCCAGUUGAACUCCAGAGGAGAACACAGCCCAGGUAACCCCUCGUUUGCAGCCUGUGAGACCAGCCUGAGGACAGCACCCAGCUAAACUCCAGGUCCAUGGAAACUGUGAGAUUUUAUAUAUUUAUGUUGUUUUAAGCUAAAUUCGUGGUAAUUGGUUAUGGUAGCAACUGAAAAUUAAUGCAGUAAGAAAGUCUAAGGAGAUCGGAAGAGACUAAAGAGAAAUAACAGCUAAAUGCAACGUAGAUUAAUGUGUGGGAUCCUGGAAAAGAAAAAGGACAUUAAUGGGAAAACAUAUUUGAAUAAGAUGUGCAAAUUUUUCGUAUUGUACCAAUGUUAAUUUCCUGGUUUUGAUAAUUAUCCUUUGGUUAUGUAAGAUAAACGCUAGAAUGAAGGGUAUAUGAGAACCCUCUGUACUACUCUUGCAACUUUUCUCUAAGUCUAAAAUAAGUGGAAAUUAAAAGUUAAAACAAAAAAAAAGGAAAAUUUUAUCUAUCCCAAGACCACAAAGUUAUUUUUCUGUUUCUUCCUCCAGAAUCUUUAUUGUUUGUUUUCACACUUAGACCUAUGAUCCAUCUUGAAUUUAUAUCUGUGUAUGUAGUGGGAUGAAGUUCAAAAUCAUUUUUUUCAUACAGAUAUCCAAGUGCACUGGCACCGUUUGUUAAAAACACUGGCCUUCUCUUAAGCUGCAGUCAGACUUUUACUGUAAAGCAUGGGCCCAUAUAUGUGCAGGAGUCUUUCUACUUUUCCGUUGGUCCUCUUUGUCAAUCUUUGUGCCAGCACCUCCAUUUUAAUUCCUGUAGCUUUAUAUUAUAUCUUGAUAAUCUGGUAAUAUAAGUUGAAGAACAACUUUGUUCUUCAAAAUCACUUUGUCUAUUCCAGGUUCUUUGCAUUGCUCUAUAAUUUUAGAAUGAGUUAAUUAAUUUUCUCAAAACAAACAAAACGCCCUGCUGACAUUUUGUUGGCAGUACAUUGAAUCAGUAGAUAAAUUUAGAGAGAAUUAUCUCAAAAUUGAGUCUUACAGUUCAUGAACAUGGAAUACAUUUCCAUUUAUUGAAUUCAUCUUUAAUUUCUUUCCUUAAGGUUUUGUUGUUUCCUGUCUAAAGGUCUUGCACAUCUGUUAAAUUUAUUCCUGUUUUACAUUUUUUAUGUUUUUACAAACUGUUAAGGUUUUAAAAAUUUUAUUUUUCAGUAGCUUUGCUUUAAUAUAAUUGUUUUAUACUUUUACCCUUUAUUCAGCAAUAAAUUAUUUAAUUUAAAGCUUGUGGAAUUAAAAAAUAUUUUUAUGUACAUAAUCAUGUAAUCUACACUAUCUGCAAAUAAAGAUCAUUUUACUUCCUUCC
RNAcentral lists this long non-coding RNA (3525 nucleotides) under Homo sapiens (human). RNAcentral describes it as "HSALNT0398130". The record is from RNAcentral. Lineage: Eukaryota; Metazoa; Chordata; Mammalia; Primates; Hominidae.